CCUACGGGAGGCAGCAGUGGGGAAUAUUGGGCAAUGGGCGCAAGCCUGACCCAGCAACGCCGCGUGAAGGAAGAAGGCUUUCGGGUUGUAAACUUCUUUUGUCAGGGAAGAGUAGAAGACGGUACCUGACGAAUAAGCCACGGCUAACUACGUGCCAGCAGCCGCGGUAACACGUAGGUGGCAAGCGUGGUCCGGAUUUACUGGGUGUAAAGGGCGUGUAGUCGGGUGGAUAAGUCAGAUGUGAAAUCCUUCGGCUUAACCGGAGAACUGCAUUUGAAACUGUUGGUCUUGAGUACUGGAGAGGCAGACGGAAUUCCUAGUGUAGCGGUGAAAUGCGUAGAUAUUAGGAGGAACACCAGUGGCGAAGGCGGUCUGCUGGACAGCAACUGACGGUGAGGCGCGAAAGCGUGGGGAGCAAACAGGAGUAGAUACCCGAGUAGUC
This 442-nucleotide ribosomal RNA is filed under the name uncultured bacterium. Its description in RNAcentral is "partial 16S ribosomal RNA". It matches the Rfam family "Bacterial small subunit ribosomal RNA", at positions 338 to 795 of the family's 1533-position model. The record is from RNAcentral.